GCCAGCCGCGUCCUCCCGGGCUCGGUGAGGAACUGUUCCUGGAGGAGCCGCGGGACGCCGAAACCAGCCAAUGGGAAGCGGCGAGACGCGGAGAUUGGCACUGUAGAUGGGAAGUGGGUUCCUGGCUCAUCUGUUGAUGCAGUGCCAGAAGUGAGCUGCAGAACAGGAGUUACUGGAGAUGACAGUGACAAUGAGUCCUGAAGGAGGAAUAUUGAUCUCAGCGUUACUUUGACCAUUAAUGAAUUAUGAUGGCAAUAAGCAGAGACGCACACCUCCAGCCUCCUGGGAGCUUAAUCUUCUGCUACAGCGUUUGCAUUUCAACCUACAAAGAAAGCUCCAAAGAAAGACGAGCCUGUGAACUGACUGAAUCCUCUUUGUACUCCUCG
Molecule: long non-coding RNA, 386 nt
Organism: Eubalaena glacialis (North Atlantic right whale)
Lineage: Eukaryota; Metazoa; Chordata; Mammalia; Artiodactyla; Balaenidae
Exons: 4
Source: RefSeq, a predicted model, not a curated record